GAAUGCUGACAUAAGUAACGAUAAAGCGGGUGAAAAGCCCGCUCGCCGGAAGACCAAGGGUUCCUGUCCAACGUUAAUCGGGGCAGGGUGAGUCGACCCCUAAGGCGAGGCCGAAAGGCGUAGUCGAUGGGAAACAGGUUAAUAUUCCUGUACUUGGUGUUACUGCGAAGGGGGGACGGAGAAGGCUAUGUUGGCCGGGCGACGGUUGUCCCGGUUUAAGCGUGUAGGCUGGUUUUCCAGGCAAAUCCGGAAAAUCAAGGCUGAGGCGUGAUGACGAGGCACUACGGUGCUGAAGCAACAAAUGCCCUGCUUCCAGGAAAAGCCUCUAAGCAUCAGGUAACAUCAAAUCGUACCCCAAACCGACACAGGUGGUCAGGUAGAGAAUACCAAGGCGCUUGAGAGAACUCGGGUGAAGGAACUAGGCAAAAUGGUGCCGUAACUUCGGGAGAAGGCACGCUGAUAUGUAGGUGAAGUCCCUCGCGGAUGGAGCUGAAAUCAGUCGAAGAUACCAGCUGGCUGCAACUGUUUAUUAAAAACACAGCACUGUGCAAACACGAAAGUGGACGUAUACGGUGUGACGCCUGCCCGGUGCCGGAAGGUUAAUUGAUGGGGUUAGCCGCAAGGCGAAGCUCUUGAUCGAAGCCCCGGUAAACGGCGGCCGUAACUAUAACGGUCCUAAGGUAGCGAAAUUCCUUGUCGGGUAAGUUCCGACCUGCACGAAUGGCGUAAUGAUGGCCAGGCUGUCUCCACCCGAGACUCAGUGAAAUUGAACUCGCUGUGAAGAUGCAGUGUACCCGCGGCAAGACGGAAAGACCCCGUGAACCUUUACUAUAGCUUGACACUGAACAUUGAGCCUUGAUGUGUAGGAUAGGUGGGAGGCUUAGAAGUGUGGACGCCAGUCUGCAUGGAGCCGACCUUGAAAUACCACCCUUUAAUGUUUGAUGUUCUAACGUUGACCCGUAAUCCGGGUUGCGGACAGUGUCUGGUGGGUAGUUUGACUGGGGCGGUCUCCUCCUAAAGAGUAACGGAGGAGCACGAAGGUUGGCUAAUCCUGGUCGGACAUCAGGAGGUUAGUGCAAUGGCAUAAGCCAGCUUGACUGCGAGCGUGACGGCGCGAGCAGGUGCGAAAGCAGGUCAUAGUGAUCCGGUGGUUCUGAAUGGAAGGGCCAUCGCUCAACGGAUAAAAGGUACUCCGGGGAUAACAGGCUGAUACCGCCCAAGAGUUCAUAUCGACGGCGGUGUUUGGCACCUCGAUGUCGGCUCAUCACAUCCUGGGGCUGAAGUAGGUCCCAAGGGUAUGGCUGUUCGCCAUUUAAAGUGGUACGCGAGCUGGGUUUAGAACGUCGUGAGACAGUUCGGUCCCUAUCUGCCGUGGGCGCUGGAGAACUGAGGGGGGCUGCUCCUAGUACGAGAGGACCGGAGUGGACGCAUCACUGGUGUUCGGGUUGUCAUGCCAAUGGCACUGCCCGGUAGCUAAAUGCGGAAGAGAUAAGUGCUGAAAGCAUCUAAGCACGAAACUUGCC
RNAcentral lists this ribosomal RNA (1523 nucleotides) under Escherichia coli. RNAcentral's name for it is "partial 23S ribosomal RNA". It matches the Rfam family "Bacterial large subunit ribosomal RNA", at positions 1292 to 2798 of the family's 2925-position model. Lineage: Bacteria; Pseudomonadati; Pseudomonadota; Gammaproteobacteria; Enterobacterales; Enterobacteriaceae. The record is from RNAcentral.